AGAGCCCUGUAACCCUGGAUCUGAUUGGUUAAUUUAAAUCAAGCAUAGUCAGGCGUUGGGUUCAAGGCAAGGACACAGCCGUUUGUUCUGGUGGGCCUUGCCUCAGCACUCUGGAAAGUCCCAGGUACACUCUGUUCCUCAUUUGUCUUCCCUUUUGAGAGGCCGGUUGACCA
This is a long non-coding RNA of Mustela erminea (ermine), 173 nucleotides long. RefSeq lists it as uncharacterized. The record is from RefSeq and is a predicted model, not a curated record. The transcript is spliced from 3 exons. Lineage: Eukaryota; Metazoa; Chordata; Mammalia; Carnivora; Mustelidae.